This 253-nucleotide ribosomal RNA is filed under the name uncultured bacterium. Its description in RNAcentral is "partial 16S ribosomal RNA". It matches the Rfam family "Bacterial small subunit ribosomal RNA", at positions 524 to 776 of the family's 1533-position model. The record is from RNAcentral.
UACGAAGGGGGCUAGCGUUGCUCGGAAUUACUGGGCGUAAAGCGCACGUAGGCGGAUUGUUAAGUCGGGGGUGAAAUCCUGGAGCUCAACUCCAGAACUGCCUUCGAUACUGGCGAUCUAGAGUCCGGGAGAGGUGAGUAGAACUGCGAGUGUAGAGGUGAAAUUCGUAGAUAUUCGCAAGAACACCAGUGGCGAAGGCGGCUCACUGGCCCGGUACUGACGCUGAGGUGCGAAAGCGUGGGGAGCAAACAGG